UGUAAUUGGUGGCUUGGUGAGAUGCAUGAGAUAUGAAGCAAGGAAUCCUGUACCUUCACGCAGCUUGAUUACUUUUUCUUCCCUUGUUUUCUUGUCUGAAUGGAAUCUGAAUAAAUAGAGCAACUACGGGGAUUAGUGUAAAGCUUAAGGCCGCAAGGUGGAAUUUCCUCAUGGAACCUUGCCACAUUUGAUGCUUCACGACAGAAUUAGGUCUCUCCAGGUCCAGGUAGCUGAGCCAUGAAUGUGACAGGAAUCAAACAAACUAAUGAAAUAUAGCACAAUGAUCAAGUGCCUAUUUGUCUCAAAACAGGGAUUGAAAGACUCUUUGUUUUCAUUCAUCAUCUCUUGUUUCCUUCCAUAGAAAGCUUCAUGGACUUUCCCUUAUGAGAAGGAUGUAAAAUUUUGUUUAACUUAUCAACAUAAUCUGUUUGCACUUUCGGUUGAUUGUAACUUUUCCAUCCAAACUACACAAGCUAUAAUCACCAUGACACUGACCUUUCAGAGGACAGAGAUUGUUGCAAGUACAAUGCAUAUUAUCGAGUUAAAAUUUGCGGAGCUAGCAUCAUAAUGGAGAACAGCGAUUGCAUCCUCGCAAACAGAAUUGCACAAAUGUAAAGUAGACUCACGAACCAAAGCAUUAGGCAAUGACAAUCCCUUGAACACCUCAUCACUCAAACCAAAGGCCAUUAUCAAAUUCUCCGUGCUAUUCUCCUCCUCUAUAUUGAAUCUGUAACCAACCCAAUGCACCUUUCCGUUAACAAAUGCAUGAGUCCAGAAGUGUGGAAUCACCGCUUGAGGCAAAUUAGCAGCAAUCACCCUCCAAUUACCUACACGUAGUGCAAAAACUUCUGCUAUAGAAGGCAUAAUAUCCCCAUGACUCUGUUCAGCAUAAGCAAUUCUCACGACCUUAAAAUCACUGUUUUUUAUGUGACAUCCAAAUCCUAACAAGGAGUACAUACUAGGCCAAAAGUUUUUACAACUUGCUCGGGGCAAAGGAAGAGUGAUUUUUCGCUUGAUGAAAGGGUUGCACAGCAUAAUAAGGUCAUGUAUCCAAAAACAUCAUCAGACAAACAUAGUAACCCAUUGCUAUAAUCCACAAUCCUGAAAUAAUACUGCACUAACUGGCGAAAAGGGAAGAAUAUUUUGACCUCAUUUUCCCCUGUGAAGUCCUCAUUUUCGUGGUAUACUGAGUAACGUUCAGUCCGUCGGUGUUUGCAGUAGCGCCUCACAAGCAUUCUAUCAUCUGGGGUGGAGGAUUUUUGAGAGAGAAGCAUGAUGGGUGUGCAUGGAGACGAAAUGAAGGCUUCAGAUCAAAGAUUUCCAUGACUUAGCUACGCACCUCAGUCUCAGGAGGGUUUUCGCAGGAACCCUUCUGAGGACAUGAACUAAAACCUCUUCAGGGAAGUAAUCUGACAUUUUUUAUGAGAAAUAGAAAUGUUAAAAUAAAAAGAAAUACUGCUUUUUGGUUUUUUUUCCCCUGUUUCUUUCGGUAGGAAGGAAAAAAGGAUAUUUGACUGUAGGAAGCUUGGAAUUUUUCCAAGCCAGGAUUAUGAAGAAUGGUUUUUUCUGGUUGUCAUGGUGAUUUUAUAUCAGAUUAGCAUGUAUUAAAAACGUAUUUGAGUAUUGAUAUUUAAUUUUGGAGGUAUAAAAUUGAUUGUCAAUAGGAUUUGUGUGUGUGUGUGUUUUCUUUUUCUUUUUUUUUUUUUGCAUGUCAAGUAUUGAUACUAUAUAUGCAAUUUGGAAUCUUUUGGACGGCUACUUGGUUUUAGAAUUUAUGCUUGGAUGGUUGUUAAGGAUUAGACUUGUUGUUUUGGGUGAAAGAAAAUGAUUGAGUAGACUAUAUUUUUCUUUCUUAGUUUUAUACAAAAGGGUAAUUUACGAUUUUUGUGAGAAAAUCUAUCUUGUUGGACCUACAUUGUGACUAAACAAUAAAAAUAGGGUAGGUAUAUGUAAUUUUUAAAACUUGGAGGAGCUCUCUGUAAUUAUUGAAAACCUCAGGGGAGGUUUGUUCCAAAAAAAAUUAUAUAGAGUAGCAUGAUGCUAAUGGAAUUCAGUUUAGGCCAGGGCUAAACAGGAAAUGAAGCCUAGGUUGCAGGUUGCAGAUGUUGGAAUUCUUGACGACAAUGGAUUAACUUCGUGCAACUAUCUCCCUGCGAAAACAACCAUCCCAGCAAAGCUAAUUUUGUUUGCACAGGAAAAGCGGAUUCAUUUCAAUUUGUCUUAUGGAAACUGGUAAAAACUAGUUAGCCUCUGUUAAUAAUGUUCCACAAGGCUCCCUUAGUUAUAUUUUUUCUUUAUGUAAUUUCUAACUCCUCCAUUCCCUUUUUUUUUGUUGUAUUUUUAUGAUGUUUUCUGCAUAAUCUCUUUGCUCAAGUACAGCAUUUGCAAUUUCAGUUUGCUCGGUUGGUUGGUGGGAAACUUGGGAUAAGUAAUAUGUAAUAGCUUGUGACCUUUAUAAUUGGAUGGGACAUUAACAUCUGUGCACGGAAGUAACAUACUGCGAAUCACAAUAAAGUACUGUGCAACUAACACUCUUUGCUGCCCGAGUUUUUUUUUGAUGGAAUCCAUUCCUCAUUCGCAAACUUCUUGUGGUAGAGGAAUUAUCCCAUUUGCAUCCACUGAGUCUCAUUUUCCUUCGGUUCUUCGCAUUUGUUGCCAAACGACUAUCUAUAUUCUGUACACAAAUACUGUCAUUUCUUCAAUGUAUUGUCUUGCUGAAUCACAGAAGGUAGCUCCAGAAAAACAACUUCCCUAACAGUCUGCUCAAACUAAAAAUUUGUCCUUGUUAGGUAAGGAACUCCACAAACCUCCUCAUGUUUUCAGGUACAAAAGCUUCUUCCAUGGCUCUCACGAUUGCAGUCAGAUCGUUCCCAAAAUGGUCAUUUGCAGUCACAUUGCUAGAGCCAGCUGCAGUUUCUCCGAACCUUUCACUGAUUGCGAACCUACAAACAGGGCAUCGACCUUCGUUGUUCACCCAAGGAACAAUACAUUCCUCAUGAAACAUGUGGUUGCAAGGAGUAAUCGUAACUAUCUCUUUAGGCUCAAAAUCUUCCAAGCAAAUGGCACACCUCUUACCUUCUUCAUGCUUCUCUUUUUCUAGUUCUUUGGAAAUAGUAAGUGGGUUAUCUCGGUAGUACAGAUUUGGUUUCCUUCUCGACAAUUUUGUCACGGGAUUAUAUGCUUCUUUCUUCAGCCUGUUCAAGACUUUCUUUUGCUCUUCUUGAGAUAAUUUGGACCCGUCCUGGGGGCCUUGCACGCUCGGUUGCGGCUGAAAAUUUGGCAAAGCAAUAGCUGCAGGUGGCACACUCGGUUGCAGCUGAAAACUUGGCAAAGCAAUAGCUGCAGGUGGCGAUGGUAUUGUGUUUCUUGUUGUGUCAAUGUUGAAGUAUUGAGUUUGAUUCUGCAAAUGUGGUGGGGCUGGAAAACUGCAAGUCAUUUUAUUAGUUUUCACACACUGAGAUUUCAAAAUUAUGUACCUGAUUUUUUUUUUAUCCAUUCACAAAUUUGAGAUUUCGCAUCGUAUCCAUAAACUGGAAACGAAUGAUACAAACGAAGAAAAUGGUUAUAGGACUAAUCCAUUCCACCUAGUUCUUAAGUUGGACUAGUGUGAAAAUUAAGGGAUGCUUUCUUCCUCGUCCCCCUCGCCUCUCAUCUCUCUUCAAUCUAAACAACAAUACUCUAUGCUUCCUGAAUAUCCCACACAAUCAUCAUGUCCUUGCAUCAUCCGUUGGUAAUUAAAGAACAUCAAACGGACAUAAUCAUCAGAACUGGCAUGAAGAGGCAUGCAUUCCAUCCUUAAAUCCUCUAGAAGAAAUGUAGGGUUUGAAAUUAAAGGAAAUAAACAGAUUUUUCUAUCUUUUCUUCAAGCUAGCUCCACUUUACAUUCUGUUAUGUUUAGUUAACAAGUGUUUCUGAGCAAGCCCUUUUAAUGAAAUUUCUUUUUUUUUUUUUUUGGAUUGCUCAUAUCCAGGCUGCUACUUAAUAUGCAGUAUACACUUAUGAUUUCAUUAUUUGAUACAUAUACUGGUGUGCUUUAGUCUAUAAUUCUUGGAAAAAGAAUUUUGACCUUACAUUCGGCUCCUACUUCUUCAGUUGGAUUGGAAGAUGUGAUUAUGUUCCAAGUUUCAGUGUUGUACAAUUUCCCCUCACCCAGAGGGGGGAGGGAACCGGAAUCAAAACUAAAUCUUUAUGAUAACUAUUGUUUUUCAUUUCUUUUACUUUCUUGUGUGGCAUCUUUUGGAAUUGUCCACAAAGAUUUGGCAAGAGCUCAUGUGACAGUAAUUUGUAUAUUAGAGCGAAUAGGCAUGGAUAAGAAAUGUAACUUGAAGAUGGGAUGAUUAUAUGCUAUCUCCCCUUUCCUUAAAAUGGGAAGCCCUUUUGUACUUUUAUUUGUUCUCAAGGUCCUAGGUUGGUAAGAUAAACAGUUCAAUCUCGCUAAAAGACCAGUGACCAUACAAGGCAGUUUUACCUUGCAAAGAAACUUCGUACAGCUUAGAUUUAUCAUGUUCCUACUUCAGCAUAGAUCUUCUAGUUAUGUAUUGCUGGAAAGAGAUUAUCCUGGGAAGUGAGGGUGUGUAGAAAGAAGAACAAAUUUACCUGGAUACGCCAAGAAAUCCACUGGGAUUGCUUACCCCAAAAAUGAACCGUGGAUCAGGAUCUCCUCCUCUGGGAGCCUGUUUCAUAUGAAAAAAGACUGAUCUGAUAUGUUCCUGGAAAUAAAUUAUCCAAUAUGAUGCACCAAUGACUUUCAUAGAUAACAUAUCGAUAUGCCUAACCACAGCAAACGAGGAGGACAAUCCAUUCCUCCUACGAGGUCUAGCUGAAUAUCCACCAUAAUCCGGCCCAGUUCUCAAGUAUUCUGGUGGCGUGUAAUUCUGGUUACUUCCGUUCAUAGGGUCUGUCACAGAAAGGAAAAUGACUCUUACAACGGAGGAAAUUUCCCAGUGUUUGCAACUUUCCUGCCUUAGGUACAUCUUUUAAGUUCUCUUUGUAAAUUUACUUUUUUUGGCAGAUGUGAAAUGUGAUUCUUUGUCCAUUUAGUUGAUCCUGUAAUUGGUGGCUUGGUGAGAUGCAUGAGAUAUAAAGCAAGGAAUCCUGUACCUUCACGCAGCUUGAUUACUUUUUCUUCCCUUGCUUUUCUUGUCUGAAUGGAAUCUGAAUAAAUAGAGCAACUGCGGCGAUUACUGCAAAGCUUAAGGCCGCAAGGUGGAAUUUCCUCAUGGAACCUUGCCACAUUUGAUGCUUCACAACAGAAUUAGGUCUCUCCAGGCCCAGGUAGCUGAGCCAUGAAUGUGACAGGAAUCAAACAAACUAAU
This 5315-nucleotide long non-coding RNA is filed under the name Coffea arabica (coffee). RNAcentral's name for it is "long non-coding RNA (CARA_LNC003862)". The record is from RNAcentral. Lineage: Eukaryota; Viridiplantae; Streptophyta; Magnoliopsida; Gentianales; Rubiaceae.